This 495-nucleotide ribosomal RNA is filed under the name uncultured bacterium. RNAcentral's name for it is "partial 16S ribosomal RNA". It matches the Rfam family "Bacterial small subunit ribosomal RNA", at positions 28 to 507 of the family's 1533-position model. The record is from RNAcentral.
GACGAACGCUGGCGGCGUGCCUAAUACAUGCAAGUAGAACGCUGAAGGAGGAGCUUGCUUCUCUGGAUGAGUUGCGAACGGGUGAGUAACGCGUAGGUAACCUGCCUGGCAGCGGGGGAUAACUAUUGGAAACGAUAGCUAAUACCGCAUAAUAGUAGAUGUUGCAUGACAUUUGCUUAAAAGGUGCAAUUGCAUCACUACCAGAUGGACCUGCGUUGUAUUAGCUAGUUGGUGAGGUAACGGCUCACCAAGGCAACGAUACAUAGCCGACCUGAGAGGGUGAUCGGCCACACUGGGACUGAGACACGGCCCAGACUCCUACGGGAGGCAGCAGUAGGGAAUCUUCGGCAAUGGACGGAAGUCUGACCGAGCAACGCCGCGUGAGUGAAGAAGGUUUUCGGAUCGUAAAGCUCUGUUGUAAGAGAAGAACGAGUGUGAGAGUGGAAAGUUCACACUGUGACGGUAUCUUACCAGAAAGGGACGGCUAACUACGUG